UCCGGUUUGUCACCGGCAGUCUCGCAUGAGUCCCCAGCUUUACCUGCUGGCAACAUACGACGAGGGUUGCGCUCGUUGCGGGACUUAACCCAACAUCUCACGACACGAGCUGACGACAGCCAUGCACCACCUGUGAACCUGCCCCGAAGGGAAGACCUGUUUCCAGGCCGGUCAGGCACAUGUCAAGCCCGGGUAAGGUUCUUCGCGUUGCGUCGAAUUAAUCCACAUGCUCCGCUGCUUGUGCGGGUCCCCGUCAAUUCCUUUGAGUUUUAGCCUUGCGGCCGUACUCCCCAGGCGGGGUGCUUAAUGCGUUAGCUUCGGCACGGGGGGAGUCGACACCCCCCACACCUAGCACCCAUCGUUUACGGCGUGGACUAC
Molecule: unclassified non-coding RNA, 378 nt
Filed under: uncultured Thermoleophilia bacterium
Lineage: Bacteria; Bacillati; Actinomycetota; Thermoleophilia
Description: contains 16S-23S intergenic spacer region
Source: RNAcentral